CGCUGUGAAGAUGCAGUGUACCCGCGGCAAGACGGAAAGACCCCGUGAACCUUUACUAUAGCUUGACACUGAACAUUGAGCCUUGAUGUGUAGGAUAGGUGGGAGGCUUUGAAGUGUGGACGCCAGUCUGCAUGGAGCCGACCUUGAAAUACCACCCUUUAAUGUUUGAUGUUCUAACGUGGACCCGUGAUCCGGGUUGCGGACAGUGUCUGGUGGGUAGUUUGACUGGGGCGGUCUCCUCCUAAAGAGUAACGGAGGAGCACGAAGGUUGGCUAAUCCUGGUCGGACAUCAGGAGGUUAGUGCAAUGGCAUAAGCCAGCUUGACUGCGAGCGUGACGGCGCGAGCAGGUGCGAAAGCAGGUCAUAGUGAUCCGGUGGUUCUGAAUGGAAGGGCCAUCGCUCAACGGAUAAAAGGUACUCCGGGGAUAACAGGCUGAUACCGCCCAAGAGUUCAUAUCGACGGCGGUGUUUGGCACCUCGAUGUCGGCUCAUCACAUCCUGGGGCUGAAGUAGGUCCCAAGGGUAUGGCUGUUCGCCAUUUAAAGUGGUACGCGAGCUGGGUUUAGAACGUCGUGAGACAGUUCGGUCCCUAUCUGCCGUGGGCGCUGGAGAACUGAGGGGGGCUGCUCCUAGUACGAGAGGACCGGAGUGGACGCAUCACUGGUGUUCGGGUUGUCAUGCCAAUGGCACUGCCCGGUAGCUAAAUGCGGAAGAGAUAAGUGCUGAAAGCAUCUAAGCACGAAACUUGCCCCGA
Molecule: ribosomal RNA, 754 nt
Filed under: Salmonella enterica
Lineage: Bacteria; Pseudomonadati; Pseudomonadota; Gammaproteobacteria; Enterobacterales; Enterobacteriaceae
Also listed under: 1 other name
Description: partial 23S ribosomal RNA
Rfam family: Bacterial large subunit ribosomal RNA
Source: RNAcentral